CUUUCACAUCCAGAGUACUUUCCCCUUUUCCACACUUCCAACAUGACGAUCAGAGGAGGUGCCUAGACACCUCAGCAACAGCAGACCUGCACAUUGGGGGGGAUUUCUUAACCACUUGGCAUGGUAAAAGCAUGUUCCUUCCAGGAUUGUCUGACACUUCUCCAACCAGAUGGUCAGACGCAGCGUAUACCACGGGUUUGGCAGCGAUCUACCGGGAACAAUUGCUUUGGGGCUGUUGGCCAUGGCAUCCAGGUUUGGAAAUUUUUCCACCACUUCAGCCCCUUUGGGAGAUCUACCCCAUUGUAGCAGCUGC
Molecule: non-coding RNA, 313 nt
Organism: Pelobates cultripes (western spadefoot toad)
Lineage: Eukaryota; Metazoa; Chordata; Amphibia; Anura; Pelobatidae
Source: the annotation of a GenBank genome assembly